RNAcentral lists this long non-coding RNA (762 nucleotides) under Marmota monax (woodchuck). Lineage: Eukaryota; Metazoa; Chordata; Mammalia; Rodentia; Sciuridae. The record is from RNAcentral.
UCCUGCCUAGUCCUAAAGCCAGGAUCUCUGUCUGCACUCUGGGUUCCCUUUCCUGCUUCCUUUGGGACCUUGAUCUCAUAAUUUUCCAUUUAUUUUUUAUCGCCCCGUUUUUUGUUUUGGAUCUACAGGUUCUAUCCCUGUUAACCAUCAAACAGAAACAGUCUAUAUUUCCAAAUACGAUUACUCAACACUAUUCAUCUUUUUGCCUACCAUCCUCCCUCUCUUUUCUUUCCAAACCUAGCUCACCAAAAGUGGUCUCUGUAGCAGCAACCUGCAUCCCUUCACUUUCUGCAUCUCAUGCAGACCUUCUGAUUCUGUCACUUUUCUAGACUUAUUUUGAAGCUGCAAGUUGGCCUUCUUCUAAAUCAUCAGUGUCUAAACUGCACAGAGAAACCUUUUCUAAGACCGAUCCUGGGGAAGGAAUAACUAGUCUCUCUAGGCAAGGAAUAUAUCCCUAGAGUUAAUGGGAUGCAGUUGGAAAUUCUCUUUUAUAGCGGGAAUAAAAAUGUGAGUCAUGGGGCUAGGGUUGUGGCUCAGUGUAGAGCACUUUCCUAGCAUAAGUGAGGCACUGGGUUCGAUCCCCGGCACCACAUAAAAAAAUAAACAAAUAAAGGUAUUGUGUCCAUCUACAACUAAAAAAAAAUGUGAGUCAUAUGUAAUUUGGAAAUGCUAGAUUAGCUAAAAUUAUAACAAGUUUUUUACUUGAGUACCAUGCAGAGAUUUUUUUUAAAUAGGCAAUUAAGUGUUAUAAAUCCCAUGGUU